AUAGGCUAAAAAAUGCAGUGUGGUAACUGGGAGACGUGAAGUGACCAUAUGGUGAGAAUACUGUGAGAUUCAGCGUACAUACCACCGCAUGAGGCCUCACCUGACCUUUCUGAGCACUUACUUUCGUACAAGCUUGCUGGGUAAGAGUUUGCAUUUGACAUGUUCUAGGACUGGUGUUUGUAGUGCUGGGCCAUUAUGAGAUUAGUGAAGUGGAAGGGAGUAUAAAAAUAGCAUUAAGUAGAAGAAAGACAUGAUCACGUGGCCCCCUCUUUCCCUAGAUGUGCUCCCAUCACUCCUUAGAGUGAUUUAGUGAGGGGGGGUUGUAGCUGCUUCCUCCUUUUUUCUCAUUUCCCAGUGCUAAGUCAGUGAUGAUGCCAGAGUGUUUACAAUGGCUAAGUACUCUUGUGGAGUGAUAAUGCUGGGUACUAACGGGCUCUUUAAUUUAGCCAAGGAAGAUAACAUGAGAACUAGCAGCUAGAAAGAAAGGCCCAGCAACUCCCAGAUGUUGGACCAAAAUUGUCAGGAGGCACUUGUUGUUGUUGUUUGGCCUUUCAUAGCUGUUUUUCUAAUAGACUGUCAAAUACAACUGAAUAAGUUGUGCUAUAGCAUUGAACUAUCCAUGCGCCUGAAAUCUGGCUGGUUAUGUGGUUUCCUUAAAAGGUAAAGGGACCCCUGACCAUUAGGUCCAGUCGCGGACGACUCUGGGGUUGUGGUGCUUAUCUCGCCGGCGUACAGCAUACGGGUCACGUGGCCAGCAUGACUAAGCCGCUUCUGGUGAACUAGAGCAGCACACGGAAAUGCCGUUUAUUUUCCCGCUGGAGCAGUACCUAUUUAUCUACUUGCACUUUGACGUGCUUUUGAACUGCUAGGUUGGCAGGAGCAGGGACCGAACAAAGGGAGCUCACCCCAUCGUGGGGAUUCAAACCGCCGACCUUCCGAUCGGCAAGCCCUAGGCUCUGUGGUUUAACCCACAGCGCCACCUGCGUCCCACUGUGGUUUCCUUUGGAGCUAAUUAAAAACUCAAUUUCCUAGCAAGUUUUUGCCUUGUAUGUUUAUGAAGAAAACCCAUACACCCCCCCCCCCCCCCCCCCCCCGGUUUGGAAAUUCAAAAGAAGCUUUGUUUGGAAAGGGAGAGUUAGACCUUUUUUUUUAUGUUUUCCCAUCUUUAUUCUGGGAUCCUCCCAGUACCGAAACAUUACAACAAGGCCAGCAGAUCUUACAGCUCAGAUGUGAUGCACUCCCUAGCUACUGGUUGCAGAAGGCAACUGAAGGCUACAUGGUUUGAUUAAAAGGAUAGGGUUUGUGUGUUCUGUACCAUGAAAAUAAAUAAAAACAUUAUUUUAAAAGGAUAAGAUUUGUGAACCUCGUGAAGCACCCUCCACUGAUCCUCUCUCAUAAUUCAAGCACUAGGUUCCUUCUUCCUUGCCCCUUACCAUUCCAUCCUUCUCUGUGUUAAAUAAACACAACUCAUGUAUAUUUUCAUAACUUAUUGAGAACAUAGCAUUUGGGGCUUUGUGGUACGUACACAGUUUGGAUAUUGUUAUUAUUUGUGCAGAGACUGGUCUAUAACUCUACCUAAAGACAAGGACCAGUGGUCUUAAAUACAUAAUCCAACAUUCAUAUUUCAAAUGCAUUAGCUUCUUUCCCAUGUCUAAAAUUUCCAUUUCUGUUAAGUACCCAGUUCUACAUCACUGCCAUUCUUUGUAAAUGGUAUUCCCGUUAAUCCAAAUGUCUGAUUAUGUUUUGAAUGUCGCACAUGUCACUUGAAUAAAGUAGCUCAUUCUGUAUAGGAACUGUUCUGCACUAUUAGCUUGCAGCGCAAUGUCUGCUUUUGCUUUGCUUCAUAGUAAUGUGAAAAUGUGGAAAGGCUGAGAAAAAUGGGUAUGGUUACCUGAUGCCUUGUCUUUACACAGCAUAUGCCCUCUGUUCUAACAAGACAGGGCACUGAAAAGCAGAGCCAGCCAUGUUGUACAAUACACUUGUAAAAGCAGGUAUAGAACAGGGGUCAGCAAACUUUUUCAGCAGGGGGCCGGUCCACUGUCCCUCAGACCUUGUGGGGGGGCCGGACUAUAUUUUGAAAAAAUAUAUAGGAACGAAUUCCUAUGCCCCACCAAUAACCCAGAGAUGCAUUUAAAUAAAAGCACACAUUCUACUCAUGUAAAAACACCAGGCAGGCCCCACAAAUAACCCAGAGAUGGGUUUUAAAUAAAAGGACACAUUCUACUCAUGUAAAAACAUGCUUGAUUCCUGGACCGUCCGCGGGCCGGAUUGAGAAGGCGAUUGGGCCACAUCCGGCCCCCGCGCCUUAGUUUGCCUGCCCAUGGUAUAGUGAUAGAGUUGGAAGACACAUUGAGAGCCAUCUAGUCCAACCCCACUGCUGUGUAAGAAUCUUAACUUGCAAUCUCCCAUCCAAUAUUGAAACCACAUUAGACACUGCUUAGCUUUGCAAAUGCACUAGCAGUUCUACUGCUGCACUACUAAGGGGAAAACUGAUGCAAACACCACUCCUGACCCCCAUAUGGAAACUGGCACAAUAUCCAUUUCAUCAGCUCAUUGUACUUCCAUGUGGAACAUGCAGUUUAGUUCUUUGCUGGUAAGCCAUCUACAGUGCUGACCAGCUACCCACCGAUUCAAAGCCAAUGUGAAACAUGUAUAUUUGCACUGUUGUAGAUGUAUUCCGAUGGCUGGUCCACCACUGUGUACAUAUUUAUACACCCUUAUCACACUGCACAUUGUUUGUGCAGUGGUGGAAAAAGAUUUGGAGGAGGACAUCCUACAGACAGUGGAUAAUUAAUGAAGGCACAGAAAGCUUCCUAUCCACAUUAAAUGACAGUAUGAAUGGCCACAUAUUAUUCCUGAUCUUUGCUGGAGUAGUGUGUGGUUGUCACUUGUGGUUCAAAAGAAGCCGCUGCUGAAUUGCAUUUUCUAGUCUAUUUAAAUGUGCAUUGUCAUUUAAAAAAAACAAAGUGUUAUGUACUGAAGCCCACAACUUAACACAAAGCACCACCCAACACCUACUCUAGCCAGCCUUUGGCAAUCCAUGCUGAAAUUCAGCAUGAGUUUGGCCUUAUUAUUUUGUCUUCUUCUGGGCUCCCUGCUUUCAGAGAGCACUGCCUAUUGUGCACACAUGCACACACCUUUGCUACAGCGGUGUGUGCAUUUUUGCCUGGAGUGAGCCUUUCUUAUGAGACAAAUGGACUUUGACAUUUGUUAGCAAAAAUGUGUCAGCUGUAAAGAAUUACCCAAAGGUCUGUUUACACAGUAUGUGGCAGGUCCGGCAAAGAAAUAUGUAUUCUAUGAAAACACAGAAAGGGCUAAAAGAAGGUUUCCUAUCCAAGGGCUCCUAUACUGUUUAGAUCUCCUUUUCUAUCUCAGAUCUGCCCUGUCCUUGAACUUUCAGCCAAUAGCAUUAAUUAUAAUACAAGCUCUGAUAUGUCCACACAUCAGCUUUUUUCAAUGGGUGAUACGAAAACCCUCUUCAUAAAAGCUUGGAAAUCUAAUUCACACUGGAAGGAGCUGUAUGUUUUUCCCAGCAUGGAGGAAAUUGAACAGAAAGCCGUGUGCAGCAUAUACUCUUGGUUGUGAUAAUAGCUGAUUAUCUGGGGAUCCGGGGAAGUGGUGGUUUGCUGCACGGUGCAGCCGUGGCUCAGUGUCAGGGCCUUUGCCUCCUCAUGAGGCCAUUUGGUGGUGCUAGGGCCUCCCCUGGCAGCCACACAGUUUCGGCGCCAAAGCCCGUUCAGAUGGGCCAAUCGGAAGGCAACAAGGGCGCAGGGUCAUGGCAGCAGCCUGGCUUCAAACAGGUCCACUUAUUCAUAUUAUAUUCAGGCCACACCUGGACUCCUUCUAUACAGAUCAUCAUGAGACUACCCACCCUCCCGCGGUGUUUAUUUGUGUUCUGCCCAAAGGUACAGUCACAGUGUGAGGGCCAUAUUCGGGACCAGGGAGAAUUUUUUAAUGCGUUAAAUUGGAUCGUCACACUUGAUGUUUUUCUAGGGUCUACCCUCAAUCCAGGGGUGAUCCACACUAUUUGAUCAACCAGCAGGCGGGUUGCUUGAUAGUGGAUACAUACUCAAUGCCUUCAACAAAACCUACUUACAUCUGGAACCAAUAAAGUUGUGGCCUAUUGCAACCCAGCACCGAUAUCCAGUGUCUUAUUUCUGUCCAUGGUUGGCCUCCCCACUGCUGCACACUUUCUGUGCCUGGGCAUGUGGAAGGAUUUGCUCUAGGGUUUGAAAAUCAACUUUUCUGCUUUUCCAUACAUAUUUUAUGCAAUAUUAUAGCAUGCGAAAUCCACGUCCCAUUUGGUAAACUUAGGUAAUAAUGCCUACAGUGUAAGCACUCUUCAACGCUCACUCUGAAACAACAUACGAUUUUAGCUCUUAACAUGCCUUCAUUUUUCUAAAGAACAAAAUACUAAGUGCCCUGGUUGAGCUAAUGGUUCUGCAUGUCCUUGCACAUCCAUCCACAGCCUCUGCGCUUUCUGAUCUUGGUCUUAUAUCUCUAAUUGCAGUCUUCAGUGUAGCCAUUGAGAGAUGGGGGCAUACAGGGACGGGGUCUCUGCUUUAGCUGAACGUCUAGACUUCUCCCUCCAGACACAUUCUUUCAAAUUUCCUCCCACUCUGGAUUAGCCUGUGUUAUCAUUGGUACACUGGAGCCCUUUCAAGAUUAAUAAAAAACACAAUGUAAAAAGUGUAUUUUGUGUGCCUACGUGCCUGAGGGAAGCUUCACAUGUUACACUUGCAGAAAGAAUAUGUUUCAGUUCAGUAGAUGAGGUACACUGCAGGUAUAAUGAACAACAAGCCGGAGUUGUACAUUUAUUUUGCCAAGUGUAUUCUGCAGAAACAUAGCUCUUCUGUAGUGUCUUUUUAUGGUGUGUGUACAUUCAAAGAAUUGUGUUUGGCCACCACACGCAUUGCAGAGUGCAUGUACACACCAUGUAUAUAAACAUGCACUUGCUAAAACUGUGAAGCAGCCGCCCCCCUCCUUAAAAAAAACCACACCUCUUCAUGCCUCUUGAGUUGUCAAUAAACAGGUUAUCAAGAAACCAUGUUAAGCAAUACUACUAGCUAACAUCCUUUAACUAUAAGUCUGUGAGGCCCUGCCAUUUUCAGGACUAAAAGAACCUAUUAACAUCCUAGGCAGCAAGAUAAGGCUUGAGACUCUUCAAGUAUUUUAGGACUUGAUCUGUGCCAUUUGUUUAUUCCAUUACAGCACUGCCUCGGCACCCAUGCAACAUACAUCUCACCUGAGCUCUACAGAAAAUAUCACCAAGUCUUUCAUGUUGAAUAGAGCUAGUUUGAAGUAGAGUGAAACAUCAAUGAACCAUGCAUUAAAAAAUGAUGCAUGGAAAGACUCCAUCAGCUGCCAUUGCCCUUGAUACUUCCAUUACACUAUGUUUAUUGAUUCAUCUUGUUAAUAAGGUAAGAAGUGCGACCGUGCAAUUAAUGUUUAUGCAGCUUUACAAUCAUAUACAUUUCCCAAAGACUUCCAAGGAUUGGCAGAAUUUGGAUAGAACCUAACCUGUAGGUUCGGAAUAGCAAAGCACUAAGAUCUAGUGCAUAAGUCACUCAGGUUUUGUGGAAAGAGUGUUGAACUAGGACCUAGGAGACCAGGGUGCAAAUCUCCACUCAAACAAGAAGAUCACUUGGUGACUUUGGGCUUGUCACAGUCUCCCUCUAGUAGCAGGGUUGCUUUAAGGAUAAAAUGAGGAGGGGGAGAAGUGGGUAAGCCACCUGGAGCUCCUUGGAUAAAAGGUAGGAUAUUAAUAUAAUAGUAAAUAAAAAUAACAGUCUCCGGCAAGGAGCCUGCUGGUGCACAUGUAUCUGCAGAGGCCUUUCCUGGUGAAAAGCUGCAGAGUACCAUUCUUUUGCAGAAAAUAGGCUUGAAAGAAACCUUCUGUGUAGCGACGUGGAAGAAGUAAGUGGGUGUGAUUAUAGUGUGUGUGUGGUGCCCACAACAGUUUAUCUGGUUCGCAGAUGUGCCUCACAAAUCUGGGAUCACCUUGAAACCAGUGCCAAAGUUUUGCAGUCGUUUUGCAGCAAAAACCCUGUGUACUGCAGCACCCAUAAAACAGAGCAAUAGCCACUCAAACCCAGGGGCCAAAGGGUAACCCAAAACUCAAAAUUGUCCGAUUCACUCCAAACUGGUGCCAAACAUUGGCGACAGUUUUGCAGUGUUUUUCAGCGAAAACCUCACAUUUUGCACCCCUGUGCUCAAAACACUAAUCCAUGUCAUUGGGAAAAUGAAAAUCGCCUUUCACCUCAUUUCCUGUUAAUGCUUUUCAUGUGAUGUGUGGACAGUGGAUGUACAAAUAGAACGAGCACCUAUUGCAUGGUGCCUAUGGUGUCACCAGAACUGAGCAACACAAGUCCCCUCUUUUCCAUGGCCAUGGCUUCACAGAAAGUGUUUCUAGCUAAUAUUUUGUUUUAUUUAUUGCAAGGCCAUAUUGGUCACCUCUCCAAAAAAACAACAGCCAAUAGGAAUAGAACUUAAGAGCUUUUCAAUGGAAAGGAAAGGUGGUGACAGCAGGAAGGAAGUAUGUAUAUAAAUCCAAUUAAUAAAAUGCUUUCUGCUCUGGGAAGCAGGGUUGCCUGUUUUAUCAAUCUGUGGUUGGUCAUGAAACAACCGCAAUAUGCCAAAAUAAUUUAAAAUGCCAUCUCUUUGGAUGCUGACAUAUUUAUUCAUUGGUAUUUUGAUUUAUUUAUUGGAACUCCCUGUCUCUUGACAUUCAGUAGGCACCCUAACUGUUCUCUUUCUGGGACCUGCUUAAAAUGUUUUUGCUUAGGCGAGCCUAUCCAUAUAGGUAGUAGUUACAUGGGCUUGUUCUUGCAUUCACUUUAAUAUGAGUAGGACACCUCAUGUUUUUGGUUUUUUGGUGAGCUUUUGACCCUUGGGUUUGAUUGGCCAUUGCUCCGUUUCUUGGGCGCUGCAAAACACGGGAUUCUUCCUGCAAAACUUUUCCAAAGUUUGGUGCCGGUUUGGAGUGAAUCGGACAAUGAUGGGUUUUUGGUGAGCCUUUGAACCCCAGGUUUGAGUGGCUAUUGCUCCAUUUCUGGGGCACUGCAAAACAUGGGGUUUCCGCUGCAAAACACUGCAAAUUUUUUGCCAAAGUUUGGUGCCAGUUUGGAGUGAAUUGGACGACGUUGUGUUUUUGGCCAUUAACUACAAACUUGGUUUUGCUGUAUCAAUUACUCUGUUUGCGGGGCGCUGCAAAACACAGGGUUUUCGCUGCAAAACGACUGCAAAACUUUGGCACCGGUUUUGAGGAGAUCCCAGAUUUUGGGAUUCGUAGUUAAUGAAACCGCUGGAUGUUAUCCCACACCUUGAGGUGUAAGGAGAGAGAGUAGAUUUUGCAACCAGAUACUUGUUUGGUACAGAUCAUAGCUUAGAAACAAAAUCUGAAGUUUGUGCUUGCAGAAUCUUGACACUGGAAGAAUCAUAUGUAGCAUGCAGGAUUUGCCUUGCCUUGCUGCAAAGUUUACAGGGGCCACAAGUUUUUCCCAGCAAGAUUUUGAUAGAAAUCAGAUGAGAAGACAGUCCAGCUCCACUUGGAACAUGCUGUACAACUCACAGGGUGUAUACCAUUCCCUAGAGAAGACUUCCUAUACUCCCAGGAAGAAUGGCUUCCUUGGGAGUGUGUCUGCCUUCCGCUUGCAUGUCUCUGAGGGGGAGAAGCCCCAACCAGGGGGCAAAAGACUUUGGAGCUGGCUUUCUCUCCUCACAGCAGCAUCGGUCACUCUGUCCCACUUUUGCCAUGUUGACCAAAGCAAGCAUUUGCUUCAUUCUAGUGCUGGCAGGGAGCCUUGCAUUCCCCAGUCUGAAUCCCAACCAAGUCAGGGACGGCAAAUCUAGAAAUAGACAUUUUUGUUUGUAAAGAAAUAUGCGAAUCUCAAAAUAACCUCCCAAAACUGGAUGGAGAGACUGCGUUUGGAUUCAGGGACAUCACCCUUCCAAGUCCGCAGAACAAACGGGAUCAAUCCUACCCACCCUCCUUUCUCGACCCUGACACUGUCGCUCACAGCGACAAGUGAGAUUCCAGACAAUUCCUCACGUAGGGCUCACCCUGGGAAAGAUUCAUGUCUCCAGUUACGCAGGGCUCUGAGAACACGCCCUGCUGCUUUUGCCAACGGGGAAUCGAGAAAUGAGUGGAUUUGAACGCAGCAUGAUGCAUGGGUGGAAAAGGGCAAGGCACAUCUUGGCGUGUUGGGCUGACUGGGUGCAAAGCCAGAACAAUGUGGGUCAGAUAAACUCUCUGGGGCUGUGCUUAGCAUAAUCUCUGGUAUGCAGACGUCCAUCAUAAGGGGAAAGCAGCAGUGCGCUGAUCUCACAAAUGGCUUUUUCUGUCAUUAGAUUUCACAGGAC
This 8361-nucleotide long non-coding RNA is filed under the name Podarcis lilfordi (Lilford's wall lizard). The record is from RNAcentral. Lineage: Eukaryota; Metazoa; Chordata; Lepidosauria; Squamata; Lacertidae.